RNAcentral lists this non-coding RNA (391 nucleotides) under Coccidioides immitis RMSCC 3703. Its description in RNAcentral is "Eukaryotic large subunit ribosomal RNA". It matches the Rfam family "Eukaryotic large subunit ribosomal RNA", at positions 1940 to 2341 of the family's 3401-position model. The record is from Rfam by way of RNAcentral. Lineage: Eukaryota; Fungi; Ascomycota; Eurotiomycetes; Onygenales; Onygenaceae.
NNUUCGGAUUGACUCUAAGAGUCAGGCACAUUAGGCCUUGGGGGAAAGUCUCUGGAGCAGGAGGGCACUAGCCAGGCAACUAGCAGAUGUCUUCCAGCAUCAGGAUGUGAAUGCCCUUGGCAGGCUUCAGCUGUCUGGCAUGUGAUUAACAACCAACUUAGAACUGGUAUGGACAAGGGGAAUCUGACUGUCUAAUUAAAACAUAGCAUUGUGAUGGCCAGAAAGUGAUAUUAACACAAUGUGAUUUCUGCUCAGUGCUCUGAAUGUUAAAGUGAAGAAAUUCAAUCAAGUGUGGGUAAACAGCAAAAGUAACUAUGACUCUCUUAAGGUAGUCAAAUGCCUCAUCAUCUAAUUAGUGAUGCACAUGAAUGGAUUAAUGAGAUUCCCACUG